UAAUUAACGUACCGCUAGACCACCCGUACGGGGGAAGCCGGGGAUCUUCGGACCUGGCGCUAGUAGAUGAGCCCGCGUGAGAUUAGCUUGUUGGUGGGGUAAUGGCCUACCAAGGCAACGAUCUCUAGCUGGUCUGAGAGGACGAUCAGCCACACUGGGACUGAGACACGGCCCAGACUCCUACGGGAGGCAGCAGUGGGGAAUAUUGGACAAUGGGCGAAAGCCUGAUCCAGCAAUGCCGCGUGUGUGAAGAAGGCCUGAGGGUUGUAAAGCACUUUCAAUCGUGAAGAAAAGUUGCAGGCUAAUACCCUGUGACCUUGACGUUAACGAUACAAGAAGCACCGGCUAACUCCGUG
RNAcentral lists this ribosomal RNA (356 nucleotides) under uncultured bacterium. RNAcentral describes it as "bacterial SSU rRNA". It matches the Rfam family "Bacterial small subunit ribosomal RNA", at positions 155 to 507 of the family's 1533-position model. The record is from RNAcentral.